This 831-nucleotide ribosomal RNA is filed under the name uncultured Streptococcaceae bacterium. Its description in RNAcentral is "bacterial SSU rRNA". It matches the Rfam family "Bacterial small subunit ribosomal RNA", at positions 74 to 890 of the family's 1533-position model. The record is from RNAcentral. Lineage: Bacteria; Bacillati; Bacillota; Bacilli; Lactobacillales; Streptococcaceae.
UGGUGUUUACACUAGACUGAUGAGUUGCGAACGGGUGAGUAACGCGUAGGUAACCUGCCUCAUAGCGGGGGAUAACUAUUGGAAACGAUAGCUAAUACCGCAUAAGAGUGAUUAACACAUGUUAGUUAUUUAAAAGGAGCAAUUGCUUCACUGUGAGAUGGACCUGCGUUGUAUUAGCUAGUUGGUGAGGUAAAGGCUCACCAAGGCGACGAUACAUAGCCGACCUGAGAGGGUGAUCGGCCACACUGGGACUGAGACACGGCCCAGACUCCUACGGGAGGCAGCAGUAGGGAAUCUUCGGCAAUGGACGGAAGUCUGACCGAGCAACGCCGCGUGAGUGAAGAAGGUUUUCGGAUCGUAAGGCUCUGUUGUUAGAGAAGAACGUUGGUAGGAGUGGAAAAUCUACCAAGUGACGGUAACUAACCAGAAAGGGACGGCUAACUACGUGCCAGCAGCCGCGGUAAUACGUAGGUCCCGAGCGUUGUCCGGAUUUAUUGGGCGUAAAGCGAGCGCAGGCGGUUCUUUAAGUCUGAAGUUAAAGGCAGUGGCUUAACCAUUGUACGCUUUGGAAACUGGAGGACUUGAGUGCAGAAGGGGAGAGUGGAAUUCCAUGUGUAGCGGUGAAAUGCGUAGAUAUAUGGAGGAACACCGGUGGCGAAAGCGGCUCUCUGGUCUGUAACUGACGCUGAGGCUCGAAAGCGUGGGGAGCAAACAGGAUUAGAUACCCUGGUAGUCCACGCCGUAAACGAUGAGUGCUAGGUGUUAGGCCCUUUCCGGGGCUUAGUGCCGCAGCUAACGCAUUAAGCACUCCGCCUGGGGAGUACGACCGCA